UACAGAGGUCUCAAGCGUUGUUCGGAUUCAUUGGGCGUAAAGGGCGCGUAGGCUGCGGGGCAAGUCGGGUGUGAAAUCUCAGAGCUCAACUCUGAAACUGCACUCGAUACUGCUUUGCUUGAGGACUGGAGAGGAGAUUGGAAUUCACGGUGUAGCAGUGAAAUGCGUAGAUAUCGGGAGGAACACCAGUGGCGAAGGCGGCGAUCUGGACAGAUAUUGACGCUGAGGUGCGAAAGCGUGGGGAGCAAACAGG
RNAcentral lists this ribosomal RNA (253 nucleotides) under uncultured bacterium. RNAcentral's name for it is "partial 16S ribosomal RNA". It matches the Rfam family "Bacterial small subunit ribosomal RNA", at positions 524 to 776 of the family's 1533-position model. The record is from RNAcentral.